This 485-nucleotide ribosomal RNA is filed under the name Clostridioides difficile. RNAcentral describes it as "bacterial SSU rRNA". It matches the Rfam family "Bacterial small subunit ribosomal RNA", at positions 1038 to 1524 of the family's 1533-position model. The record is from RNAcentral. Lineage: Bacteria; Bacillati; Bacillota; Clostridia; Peptostreptococcales; Peptostreptococcaceae.
GUGGUGCAUGGUUGUCGUCAGCUCGUGUCGUGAGAUGUUGGGUUAAGUCCCGCAACGAGCGCAACCCUUGUCUUUAGUUGCCAUCAUUAAGUUGGGCACUCUAGAGAGACUGCCAGGGAUAACCUGGAGGAAGGUGGGGAUGACGUCAAAUCAUCAUGCCCCUUAUGCUUAGGGCUACACACGUGCUACAAUGGGUAGUACAGAGGGUUGCCAAGCCGUAAGGUGGAGCUAAUCCCUUAAAGCUACUCUCAGUUCGGAUUGUAGGCUGAAACUCGCCUACAUGAAGCUGGAGUUACUAGUAAUCGCAGAUCAGAAUGCUGCGGUGAAUGCGUUCCCGGGUCUUGUACACACCGCCCGUCACACCACGGGAGUUGGAGACGCCCGAAGCCGAUUAUCUAACCUUUUGGAAGAAGUCGUCGAAGGUGGAAUCAAUAACUGGGGUGAAGUCGUAACAAGGUAGCCGUAUCGGAAGGUGCGGCUGGAUC